UGGGGAAUAUUGCGCAAUGGGGGAAACCCUGACGCAGCGACGCCGCGUGUGGGAUGAAGGUCUUCGGAUUGUAAACCACUGUCGCGAGGGACGAAGCUCUGACGGUACCUCGAAAGGAAGCACCGGCUAACUCUGUGCCAGCAGCCGCGGUAAUACAGAGGGUGCGAGCGUUGUCCGGAAUCACUGGGCGUAAAGGGCGCGUAGGCGUCCCGGUAAGUAGGGGGUGAAAUCUCAUGGCUCAACUGUGAGGUUGCCUUCUAGACUGCCAGGCUUGAGCACAGUAGAGGCGAGUGGAAUUCCCGGUGUAGCGGUGGAAUGCGUAGAGAUCGGGAAGAACAUCGGUGGCGAAGGCGGCUCGCUGGGCUGUUGCUGACGCUGAGGCGCGAAAGCGUGGGGAGCAAACAGGAUUAGAUACCCCAGUAGUCCCUGAGCGGGCUGGCAAGGCGCAU
RNAcentral lists this ribosomal RNA (449 nucleotides) under uncultured bacterium. RNAcentral describes it as "bacterial SSU rRNA". It matches the Rfam family "Bacterial small subunit ribosomal RNA", at positions 355 to 825 of the family's 1533-position model. The record is from RNAcentral.